GACGAACGCUGGCGGCGUGCCUAAUACAUGCAAGUCGAGCGGGCCUCCGGAGGUGCUUGCACCUCCGGAAGGCCAGCGGCGGACGGGUGAGUAACACGUGGGCAACCUGCCUUUGAGGACGGGAUAACACCGGGAAACCGGUGCUAAUACCGGAUACGUCCUCUUUCGCGCCUGCGAGAGGGGAGAAAGAAGGUCUUUAAGGCCGUCGCUCAAAGAGGGGCCCGCGGCGCGUUAGUUUGUUGGUGGGGUAAGGGCCUACCAAGGCGACGAUGCGUGGCCGACCGGGGAGGGUGAUCGGCCACACUGGGACUGAGACACGGCCCAGACUCCUGCGGGAGGCAGCAGUAGGGAAUCAUCCGCAAUGGGCGAAAGCCUGACGGUGCAACGCCGCGUGAGUGAGGAAGGUUUUCGGAUCGUAAAGCUCUGUUGUGAGGGAAGAACAGCUUCCGGAGGAAAUGCCGGAGGUUUGCCGGUACCUCACCAGAAAGCCCCGGCUAACUACGUGCCAGCCGCCGCUGUAA
Molecule: ribosomal RNA, 521 nt
Filed under: uncultured bacterium
Lineage: Bacteria
Description: partial 16S ribosomal RNA
Rfam family: Bacterial small subunit ribosomal RNA
Source: RNAcentral